This 2597-nucleotide long non-coding RNA is filed under the name Salmo salar (Atlantic salmon). Its description in RNAcentral is "lncRNA (ENSSSAG00000095759.1)". Lineage: Eukaryota; Metazoa; Chordata; Actinopteri; Salmoniformes; Salmonidae. The record is from RNAcentral.
GUAAAUAUCAUUGUAUUCAACAUUCUGGCCUGUAGAGACAAUUGCAUCUUUUUUACAGCGACUUCUUUCAGUCUAUCUGUGGAGUAACCAUGGUAACAGUCUGAUAUUUAGACUGUUAGUUGCCUAUGUUAUGUUUCAGUAGCAUUACUGCCUGUGUGUGUAAGUAGUAGGGUGUGCACGCUCGCGGUUAUGUGGGUUGUUGUGGCUGAAAUGCCAGGGCUGAAUUUCUGCCCCAGUCCGCCCCUGAGGAGGGGUGUGCCCUCACUGACUGUAGUUCGGCAACCUGUGUUAGACUAAUCAAAUAGCCUACAAGCACUCUGAUCUCAUGACUUACUUCCUGGUCGUCUUUUUCCUUCUGUGAAGUGCCUGUGUUAUCGAACCUGCUACUAUGGUUAUUCUAAAAGGAAUACCGUCCAUUCUGUCGCCAGAGCUGCUGUAUGCUCUGGCCAAGAUGGGCCACGGAGACGAACUGGUUCUGGCUGAUACAAACUUCCCUACCUCCUCCACCUGCACCUGCGGUCCCAUUGAGAUCCGAGCUGAUGGACACCGGAAAAGACAAGAGAAAUACUCCAGAUGUGACAGACUGACCCUAGCCCCCCGACACAUAAACUACUGCAGCAUAAAUACUGGAGGCUGAGACAGGAGGGGUCAGGAGACACUGUGGCCCCAUCCGAUGAAACCCCCGGACAGGGCCAAACAGGUCUAGGGGCUGCUGAGCUUUUGGAGGCCAUUUUGAAGUUAUUGCCCCUGGAUACCUACGUCCUCAGCCCGGCUGCCGUGAUGGAGUUGGUGGACAGUGACAAAAAAAGGGGACUAGCCACUCCUGUAUGGGACAUCUUCAGACAGAAGCUGGCACAUGCUGGGGUACAGGCUCCUCUAGAGAAGGUGGAGAGAUUUGCAUUCUAUGAACGAGCCAAGAAAGCCUUUGCUGUUGUAGCAACUGGGGAGACAGCGCUCUAUGGGUGCCUGAUACUGAAGAAGGGAGUCAUCCCGGGUGAACUACUAGAUUGACACACACAAUGAAUGUUAUCGACGGGGCACAACCAAAUUUCGCAUUGCCUAACAAAUUACCUAAGAAUUUGAGUUUGCAUGUUUCUGAGAAACAUCUAGAUUUUCUUUAAAAAUAUAUAUUAUGUUGAUGUCACGAUCCGUCUGAAAUCGAAUAUGCAAUGUAUCAAUUGUAAAUAAACAAUAGUGAUUUUUCUAUUCGUAUUCCAUGUGAAUGAUUAAGUAGAUGUAAGACAGACACAUUACAGUAGAGGUUACAAGUGUCUUUAAUGUUUUAGAAGAUCAACUUAUACAGUACUGGUUAUUAAACAUAAUAAACGGUUAGAUCCAUACAGUGUUAGUUUAUAGACUUCUAUAGAGUCACUCCGAUGUGCAUUUAACCCAUUGCUGUAUGUACAGCUUUUAACUGUAUUUGAUUGGAUGCAGUAGAGCUGUAUCUGACUGUAGAGUUGACAGUCAGUUAGGGGGCAGAUAUCAUGGGUCUUAGGUGUUUAAUUAAUGAUGAUAGAGGUCAUCCAGGUCCUCUUCUGGUUCUCUGUACAUCCUCUGAGAGGGCCGAUCGGCAGACUGCUGCCUGUCCUGGCCAGGUACAGGUACAGGCAGGUCACCAUGGUAGAGGUCAUCCCUGUCUUCCUCUGGCUCACUAUGACCCUUCACCUCUGCCCCUACAGCAGCUAGCUCCCCCUGGUGAGGCACGUCCACUUGGUACUGCCCGUCUCCCCUUUUCAUCUCUGGAUGGUAGAGUUCGUCCCAGUCCUCUUCAGGGUGCCGUGGAUCCACCUGGCCUGAGAAGAGAUGAGAGAUGUUAUCUAGAUCUAUCCCAGCCUCCUGGUAGUACUUGGUGUUAUCCUCCUCAAGGGGCUCUGUCUGGAUGGCCAUCCGAACGAAGGUGUCCUCUGGCUGAGAUCGGGCUCUGGCCAGGUCAGCCUCGUGGGUCUGCUCCAUGGAUGGGUGGUAUAGAUGGUCCAUGUCCUCCUCGGUUGUGGAGUAUCUGCCUUGGACUACCUCUUUUUCUACCUUCUGUCUCUUCCCACCUCCCCCUCUCAUGUUCUUCCAGAUGGCCAUGACAGGGUGGAUAGAUGCAGAUCAACACAGAAAUUCUGAGAGGAAGAGAGACAUGAUGAUCAACUGACUAUUGAUGAUUAUUAACCUGAUUAACUGACAACUGAUUCACUGUGUUCUGAUGUAACGUGUACUAUAUGGCAGUGGUUUUCCCCUGAAAGUACUGGAAGAGGUUCUUACCUGAACAUGUUGUCUCUGUGAAGUGUUCUUCGUGUGUGUUUCUCAGCUGAGAUCAUAGUCUGGGUGAUACACACACCUGUCCUGACACACAAUAGAUCAAAGGUUGUAUAAUAAACUCUGAUUUUGACCUUUGAACUCACCCAGUUAUUCAGAGUUAUUAGUCAUGUUGGCUGUCAUGUUUGGGUUGUGUGGCUAUGUAAUUUGUAUAAGCUGUUUAGUUUUGUGUAUACACUAUGAGAAGUUGUUGUCAUGUGGAAAAUGAAGUCAUAAGUGACAUUUUAACCUCGCCAUCACCACUGCUACACACUAAAGAUUGGCUCUAACUGUUCUUAAUCUGUGAUAGAUUU